GACGAACGCGGCGGCGUGCCUAAUACAUGCAAGUCGAGCGGACAGAUGGGAGCUUGCUCCCUGAUGUAGCGGCGGACGGGUGAGUAACACGUGGGUAACCUGCCUGUAAGACUGGGAUAACUCCGGGAAACCGGGGCUAAUACCGGAUGGUUGUUUGAACCGCAUGGUUCAAACAUAAAAGGUGGCUUCGGCUACCACUUACAGAUGGACCCGCGGCGCAUUAGCUAGUUGGUGAGGUAAUGGCUCACCAAGGCAACGAUGCGUAGCCGACCUGAGAGGGUGAUCGGCCACACUGGGACUGAGACACGGCCCAGACUCCUACGGGAGGCAGCAGUAGGGAAUCUUCCGCAAUGGACGAAAGUCUGACGGAGCAACGCCGCGUGAGUGAUGAAGGUUUUCGGAUCGUAAAGCUCUGUUGUUAGGGAAGAACAAGUACCGUUCGAAUAGGG
RNAcentral lists this ribosomal RNA (449 nucleotides) under Bacillus subtilis. Its description in RNAcentral is "bacterial SSU rRNA". It matches the Rfam family "Bacterial small subunit ribosomal RNA", at positions 28 to 469 of the family's 1533-position model. Lineage: Bacteria; Bacillati; Bacillota; Bacilli; Caryophanales; Bacillaceae. The record is from RNAcentral.